UCAUGUUCUUUAUGAAGAGGAUUUGUUAGGUCCUGAUAUGCCCGUGAAUUCAAACGGAAGACAAAUUCUGUGCAACAGGGCUGUAAUGAAAUGAACGAAGCCUCAGCUCAUUCUGCAGACAUACCUUAAAGAGCCAUACAAAACCAUGAAGAGGUUCAAAAGAGAUCUUUCAGAGAGCCCUGGAAGAAAACUGAAUCAAAGAAGUAAUUAUUUUUUUAAAAAGGGAACAGAAGCAUGAGCAAAAGCUCCUAGUGUCCUGAGAGGGUGAACUGCUGAGGACAAGAAAACCAGGGGGAG
Molecule: long non-coding RNA, 297 nt
Filed under: Anser brachyrhynchus (Pink-footed goose)
Lineage: Eukaryota; Metazoa; Chordata; Aves; Anseriformes; Anatidae
Description: lncRNA (ENSABRG00000014958.1)
Source: RNAcentral